Pezoporus occidentalis (night parrot) is the source of this 2355-nucleotide long non-coding RNA. RefSeq lists it as uncharacterized. The transcript is spliced from 2 exons. The record is from RefSeq and is a predicted model, not a curated record. NCBI's taxonomy places the organism in Eukaryota, Metazoa, Chordata, Aves, Psittaciformes, Psittacidae.
AUUGUACUGCCAAUGAAAAGGUUAUUAACCAUCAGAGGUAUAAGAUUCUGGAAUUCUUGCAAUGAAGAUAUUGAAGGCAAGAAAGGACUUUUCUUUAAGAUAGAGCCUGAUAAAUUCAUAAUGGGAUUAUAGUGAAUGUUUUUUUCCAGCCGAAUGUAUUGUCUUAAUUCUGUCUGUUUAAGGCAUAGACCAGAGCCAGUAUUUCCACUGUUACUGUUUAUGGUCAACAUUAGAACAUUCUCUGCUUGUUCCUGGAGAUGUCACUUGCAAAUUGUACUUUCAGCUUAAUUCCCAAGGUGCCACCACCUUGGCUAAAAGAAAUCUCAAUCUGAAUAUCCCUGGAUCCCAUUCAACUGAGAAAACUGAAGUGUCCCAACUCCUUCAUCCACCAAAGACCUUCUCUGGUACCUUCAGAGCAGAGCUGAUGCAUGGAGCCACGCACCCAACAGCACAGCAGCAGAGGCUGGCACAUGCACACUGCAGGACACUGCAGCACAGGGGAGUUAAGCAGUGACAAGAGCAGUAAACUAUUUAAGGUAUAACUUUUCCCUCUCAUUCUACCAAAACCCCUUGAACCAACAAUGGAAUCCCAAUAUAUUGACAAGAUUCUGGUGGUUUUGGGUGCCUAUCUUUGAAAGGGCAGCCAGCUUGCUGCAGAGGUCUUUUAGAAUGUCUCUUCCAGGGAAUAUUCUUUUAAGAUCUCUAAUUGAAAGUAAUAAUAAAGACCUUCAAUCAGUCAGAUAGAGGAAUGUAACGUGGCUAAUGGAAAACUACAGUGAAGGGUGAUGGAAGGGUACGUUUGCUGUUGAGGAAGGGCAUCAUGUCUUCUGACUGGGAAACUGUUGCUUUGGUAGGGUAGCAGCUAAUCCCAUUCCAUGUGGCGUGGCCUAGUCAUCACACGAUGAGCUUUUGAACUUUGUCAGCUCUGCUGGUUGCAUUCUCUGUGCUUCGUGCCAGGUUUUGGCAUUCCUCAGCCAAGAUUCCCUGUCUCCUGUUUUGUCAGCGUUGACCAGAUUCCUUCAUGACACACCACUGAUGCUGGUGGCCUUUUGAUGUAAUGUGUGGUGAAAGAAAUGUUGUUGAUACUGCUACGAUUUUGCAUUUUGCAGCAGCACAAGUGCCAAGGAGGACUUGGACUUGCUUUAUUCAAGGGAAUAGGAUCCAAACACAGAAAUCCAUCGUGUUUUCCAUAUGGAACCGAAAUCAAAAUAAAAGAUCUGGACAAAAAGAGGAGGAUGCAUUUUUGCGUAAGGAUUAGUCUCAUUUUAAUUGUAUAUCCACAGAUUCUGAUGGAAUAAUACAAAGCAAAAAUAAGAAUACAUACUGAACAGCAAUCUAUGUCUUCUAGCAUAAACCACCUAGUUACAAACACUUUAGAAAAAUGACAGGUCACACAUUUUUACAGGUAGGUUUGGGUUAAAAGGACCCACUACAAAGGAGAAAAAACUGAGAUAGAUCAAAGUGAUACCGUCAUGGUGACUUUUAAACUUCACUUUACCAGUAGCAUGCUGUAUUUCUGACUGCCAGUAAAUAUGGAAAUACAAAAGAGAAAACAUGUGCUUUUGGAGAUAGAGCAAUUUUGCCUGGUCAUUUCACCUGCUGUCAGGGUAAACUGAGCUUAUUGCCACCAGCAUUUCAGGAGCUCUUUUGUUUUUUCAUGUCAAAUAGAGGAUGUGCUGCUUUUAAAACCUUUCCCACGGAGGUUUCCUCCCAUGUGGGAUUGCACAUCUGUAAGCAAAUCAUCUUAGAGAAAAUAGAUGGAUAAAUUUGCAAGGAGGUAUGCUCUAAACAUCCACUCACAUUUACACAGCACUGUGAAGAGGAGACGGGAUUCAUUAUCCAACUGAAUAUACAGCAGCAUCUCAGUUUUGUUUCCUGGGUCUUCCUUGUGAUUCAAAAGGAUGAUUCCUAAACAAAGUAUUUUCACUGUAUAAAUCUGACACUGGUCAAGUCCUGUGGCUGCCUCAAGGAGCUGGGAACGUGUUUCCUACUCUGUUCUCAGGAUGUGAUUUUUCAGGCUGACGCUGGCUGAAUGUUGAAGUUUGACAUAAAUUAGACAGUGAGUCAAUACUGUGAUUGCUGUGAAUAUUAUGGGGGUCCAAUAAUUCUGUCUGCAGCUAAAAUGGGGCUAUUUAUGGAUUCACCAUCAGAAAAGCUCAUGAGAGGUAAAAUCCAAGCCCAGAAAAAUGGUGUUGAUAAUUCCUGCUGUUUGAUAGGAUACAGUGCAUUCAUAAAUCAAAGUAUUAAUCCUCUCAAGAUGUUUUUCUGAGGCAAGGUCUGCUGUACACUGGCAACACUGACCAGUACAGCAGUACUGCUACAAGGAUGGAGUUUAUUUCAUUAUAGUUUUUAACC